RNAcentral lists this ribosomal RNA (843 nucleotides) under Triticum aestivum (bread wheat). RNAcentral describes it as "partial small subunit ribosomal RNA". The record is from RNAcentral. Lineage: Eukaryota; Viridiplantae; Streptophyta; Magnoliopsida; Poales; Poaceae.
AUGAGGGGAAAAAGUUCCUUUCCAUCUAUCACUUUUCCCGAGUCAGUCCGUGGGUGGCAGUCGACUUGGUUUUACUGUAAAGACCAGGUGACCCCAGGACAGUCGACUGGGCUUCCUCCUUUUUCUCUGAAUCGAGCACAAAAACCUGCCUCUCUGAAAGUGACGCCGGAGGAAAAGGCGCAAGUCAAGGUGCUGGUUGGUCGAGUGGUUCAGCUUGUCCGCGAGGGUGUGACUGGCAUGGACUUGUUGGAAGUCUUCCUUCAGAGGCACAUCCAACCGCUUCAGGCUCGUGACCACCCGAUGUGGUUGUACUCGGGUCUCGAAGACACCACUCGGAUUCACCCAGAGGAGGUCACUGACGAGAUGUUGGAAGGGUGUCUGUCGAGUAUCACAGGGAACAAGGACAACCCCCGAAGAGCCCGGAGGAUUCCUCCACUCGACCAAACAUACAAAGUGGACAAGGCCAUUACUGAGAUGUUCUCGACACCCAAUGGAGCACAGGAGCAGGCCGAGGAAGGAGAGGCGAGCGGAGGCGAAAGUGGAGACGAGAGAGAAGAGUGGGAAUCUGACGGCAAAGGAGAGGGGGAUGACGACGAUGACUCCAGUGAAGAGGAGGAGGAAGAAGUCAAACCUCCCCGCUCGGAACGGCGAUCCAAGCUUACACACGACCCUGCACGGGAACGUGGUAAGGCGACUGUCCCUGUUGGGCAGUCGUCGAAGCGCCCUCGGACCUCAUCUCCAGCGCCGACAAAAAAAGCUCCCAAGCACCCACGCGCGACGCCGUCCAAGCCGCCCAAGGCUCUGCCCAAGAUGAAGAUGACUGUCCCCACCAUUUCUGGGUAA